GACGAACGCUGGCGGCGUGCUUAACACAUGCAAGUCGAACGGAAAGGCCCUGCUUUUGUGGGGUGCUCGAGUGGCGAACGGGUGAGUAACACGUGAGUAACCUGCCCUUGACUUUGGGAUAACUUCAGGAAACUGGGGCUAAUACCGGAUAGGAGCUCCUGCUGCAUGGUGGGGGUUGGAAAGUUUCGGCGGUUGGGGAUGGACUCGCGGCUUAUCAGCUUGUUGGUGGGGUAGUGGCUUACCAAGGCUUUGACGGGUAGCCGGCUUGAGAGGGUGACCGGCCACAUUGGGACUGAGAUACGGUCCAGACUCCUCCGGGAGGCAGCAGUGGGGAAUAGUGCACAAUGGGCGGAAGCCUGAUGCAGCAACGCCGCGUGCGGGAUGACGGCCUUCGGGUUGUAAACCGCUUUCGCCUGUGACGAAGCGUGAGUGACGGUAAUGGGUAAAGAAGCACCGGCUAACUACGUG
This 468-nucleotide ribosomal RNA is filed under the name uncultured bacterium. RNAcentral describes it as "partial 16S ribosomal RNA". It matches the Rfam family "Bacterial small subunit ribosomal RNA", at positions 28 to 507 of the family's 1533-position model. The record is from RNAcentral.